GAUCCCGUAGUUAAACUGGAUAUAACCAAGGAUUCCUAAUCCUUAAUUCUGGGUUCGAGUCCCGGCGGGAUCACCA
RNAcentral lists this transfer RNA (76 nucleotides) under Rhodospirillaceae bacterium. Its description in RNAcentral is "tRNA-Arg". It matches the Rfam family "tRNA". Rfam says of the family: Transfer RNA (tRNA) molecules are approximately 80 nucleotides in length. Their secondary structure includes four short double-helical elements and three loops (D, anti-codon, and T loops). RNAcentral also lists the same sequence under 1 other name. The record is from RNAcentral. Lineage: Bacteria; Pseudomonadati; Pseudomonadota; Alphaproteobacteria; Rhodospirillales; Rhodospirillaceae.